UACGUAGGGGGCAAGCGUUGUCCGGAAUCAUUGGGCGUAAAGAGCGCGUAGGCGGUCCGGUAAGUCGGUUGUGAAAACUGGGGGCUCAACCCUCAGAGGCCGAUCGAUACUGUCGGGCUAGAGUCCGGAAGAGGCGAGUGGAAUUCCUGGUGUAGCGGUGAAAUGCGCAGAUAUCGGGAGGAACACCGGUGGCGAAGGCGGUUCUCUGGGCCUUACCUGACGCUGAGGAGCGAAAGCGUGGGGAGCGAACAGG
RNAcentral lists this ribosomal RNA (253 nucleotides) under uncultured bacterium. Its description in RNAcentral is "partial 16S ribosomal RNA". It matches the Rfam family "Bacterial small subunit ribosomal RNA", at positions 524 to 776 of the family's 1533-position model. The record is from RNAcentral.